UUAUCCAGGCAAAUCCGGAUAAUCAAGGCUGAGGUGUGAUGACGAGGCACUACGGUGCUGAAGUAACAAAUGCCCUGCUUCCAGGAAAAGCCUCUAAGCAUCAGGUAACAUCAAAUCGUACCCCAAACCGACACAGGUGGUCAGGUAGAGAAUACCAAGGCGCUUGAGAGAACUCGGGUGAAGGAACUAGGCAAAAUGGUGCCGUAACUUCGGGAGAAGGCACGCUGGUGUGUAGGUGAAGCCCCUGCGGGUGGAGCUGAGACCAGUCGAAGAUACCAGCUGGCUGCAACUGUUUAUUAAAAACACAGCACUGUGCAAACACGAAAGUGGACGUAUACGGUGUGACGCCUGCCCGGUGCCGGAAGGUUAAUUGAUGGGGUUAUCCGUAAGGAGAAGCUCUUGAUCGAAGCCCCGGUAAACGGCGGCCGUAACUAUAACGGUCCUAAGGUAGCGAAAUUCCUUGUCGGGUAAGUUCCGACCUGCACGAAUGGCGUAAUGAUGGCCAGGCUGUCUCCACCCGAGACUCAGUGAAAUUGAACUCGCUGUGAAGAUGCAGUGUACCCGCGGCAAGACGGAAAGACCCCGUGAACCUUUACUAUAGCUUGACACUGAACAUUGAGCCUUGAUGUGUAGGAUAGGUGGGAGGCUUUGAAGCGUGGACGCCAGUCUGCGUGGAGCCAACCUUGAAAUACCACCCUUUAAUGUUUGAUGUUCUAACGUUGGCCCCUGACCGGGGUUGCGGACAGUGUCUGGUGGGUAGUUUGACUGGGGCGGUCUCCUCCCAAAGCGUAACGGAGGAGCACGAAGGUUAGCUAAUCCUGGUCGGACAUCAGGAGGUUAGUGCAAUGGCAUAAGCUAGCUUGACUGCGAGCGUGACGGCGCGAGCAGGUGCGAAAGCAGGUCAUAGUGAUCCGGUGGUUCUGAAUGGAAGGGCCAUCGCUCAACGGAUAAAAGGUACUCCGGGGAUAACAGGCUGAUACCGCCCAAGAGUUCAUAUCGACGGCGGUGUUUGGCACCUCGAUGUCGGCUCAUCACAUCCUGGGGCUGAAGUAGGUCCCAAGGGUAUGGCUGUUCGCCAUUUAAAGUGGUACGCGAGCUGGGUUUAGAACGUCGUGAGACAGUUCGGUCCCUAUCUGCCGUGGGCGCUGGAGAAUUGAGGGGGGCUGCUCCUAGUACGAGAGGACCGGAGUGGACGCAUCACUGGUGUUCGGGUUGUCAUGCCAAUGGCACUGCCCGGUAGCUAAAUGCGGAAGAGAUAAGUGCUGAAAGCAUCUAAGCACGAAACUUGCCCCGAGAUGAGUUCUCCCUGAGACUUUAAGUCUCCUGAAGGAACGUUGAAGACGACGACGUUGAUAGGCCGGGUGUGUAAGCGCAGCGAUGCGUUGAGCUAACCGGUACUAAUGAACCGUGAGGCUUAACCUU
This 1422-nucleotide ribosomal RNA is filed under the name Klebsiella pneumoniae. Its description in RNAcentral is "bacterial LSU rRNA". It matches the Rfam family "Bacterial large subunit ribosomal RNA", at positions 1528 to 2925 of the family's 2925-position model. Lineage: Bacteria; Pseudomonadati; Pseudomonadota; Gammaproteobacteria; Enterobacterales; Enterobacteriaceae. RNAcentral also lists the same sequence under 1 other name. The record is from RNAcentral.